AUUGAACGCUGGCGGCAUGCUUUACACAUGCAAGUCGAACGGCAGCGCGGGCUUCGGCCUGGCGGCGAGUGGCGAACGGGUGAGUAAUGCAUCGGAACGUGCCCAGUAGUGGGGGAUAGCCCGGCGAAAGCCGGAUUAAUACCGCAUACGACCUGAGGGUGAAAGCGGGGGACCGAAAGGCCUAGCGCUAUUGGAGCGGCCGAUGUCGGAUUAGCUAGUUGGUGGGGUAAAGGCUUACCAAGGCGACGAUCCGUAGCUGGUCUGAGAGGACGACCAGCCACACUGGGACUGAGACACGGCCCAGACUCCUACGGGAGGCAGCAGUGGGGAAUUUUGGACAAUGGGGGCAACCCUGAUCCAGCCAUGCCGCGUGCGGGAAGAAGGCCUUCGGGUUGUAAACCGCUUUUGUUCGGGAAGAAAUCCUCUGGGCUAAUACCCCGGGGGGAUGACGGUACCGGAAGAAUAAGCACCGGCUAACUACGUG
Molecule: ribosomal RNA, 484 nt
Filed under: uncultured bacterium
Lineage: Bacteria
Description: partial 16S ribosomal RNA
Rfam family: Bacterial small subunit ribosomal RNA
Source: RNAcentral